RNAcentral lists this ribosomal RNA (469 nucleotides) under uncultured bacterium. RNAcentral describes it as "bacterial SSU rRNA". It matches the Rfam family "Bacterial small subunit ribosomal RNA", at positions 328 to 797 of the family's 1533-position model. The record is from RNAcentral.
GAGCCAGACUCCUACGGGAGGCAGCAGUGAGGAAUAUUGGUCAAUGGGCGGGAGCCUGAACCAGCCAAGCCGCGUGAGGGAAGAAGGUACAGCGUAUCGUAAACCUCUUUUGUCAGGGAACAAAGGCGGGGACUAGUCCCCGGAUGAGGGUACCUGAAGAAAAAGCAUCGGCUAACUCCGUGCCAGCAGCCGCGGUAAUACGGAGGAUGCGAGCGUUAUCCGGAUUUAUUGGGUUUAAAGGGUGCGUAGGCGGGCUUUUAAGUCAGCGGUAAAAAUUCGGGGCUCAACCCCGUCCGGCCGUUGAAACUGGCGAACUCGAGAGGGAGAGAAGUAGGCGGAAUGCGCAGUGUAGCGGUGAAAUGCAUAGAUAUUGCGCAGAACUCCGAUUGCGAAGGCAGCCUACCGGCUCCUGUCUGACGCUGAGGCACGAAAGCGUGGGUAUCGAACAGGAUUAGAUACCCUCGUAUCA